UGACUGCGUACCUUUUGUAUAAUGGGUCAGCGACUUAUAUUCUGUAGCAAGGUUAACCGAAUAGGGGAGCCGUAGGGAAACCGAGUCUUAACCGGGCGUUAAGUUGCAGGGUAUAGACCCGAAACCCGGUGAUCUAGCCAUGGGCAGGUUGAAGGUUGGGUAACACUAACUGGAGGACCGAACCGACUAAUGUUGAAAAAUUAGCGGAUGACCUGUGGCUGGGGGUGAAAGGCCAAUCAAACCGGGAGAUAGCUGGUUCUCCCCGAAAGCUAUUUAGGUAGCGCCUCGUGAAUUCAUCUCCGGGGGUAGAGCACUGUUUCGGCUAGGGGGCCAUCCCGGCUUACCAACCCGAUGCAAACUGCGAAUACCGGAGAAUGUUAUCACGGGAGACACACGGCGGGUGCUAACGUCCGUCGUGAAGAGGGAAACAACCCAGACCGCCAGCUAAGGUCCCAAAGUCAUGGUUAAGUGGGAAACGAUGUGGGAAGGCCCAGACAGCCAGGAUGUUGGCUUAGAAGCAGCCAUCAUUUAAAGAAAGCGUAAUAGCUCACUGGUCGAGUCGGCCUGCGCGGAAGAUGUAACGGGGCUAAACCAUGCACCGAAGCUGCGGCAGCGACGCUGAUGCGUUGUUGGGUAGGGGAGCGUUCUGUAAGCCUGCGAAGGUGGCCUGUGAGGGUUGCUGGAGGUAUCAGAAGUGCGAAUGCUGACAUAAGUAACGAUAAAGCGGGUGAAAAGCCCGCUCGCCGGAAGACCAAGGGUUCCUGUCCAACGUUAAUCGGGGCAGGGUGAGUCGACCCCUAAGGCGAGGCCGAAAGGCGUAGUCGAUGGGAAACGGGUUAAUAUUCCCGUACUUGGUGUUACUGCGAAGGGGGGACGGAGAAGGCUAUGUUGGCCGGGCGACGGUUGUCCCGGUUUAAGCGUGUAGGUGUGUGUUCCAGGUAAAUCCGGUUCACUUUAACACUGAGGCGUGAUGACGAGGCACUACGGUGCUGAAGCAACAAAUGCCCUGCUUCCAGGAAAAGCCUCUAAGCAUCAGGUAACAUCAAAUCGUACCCCAAACCGACACAGGUGGUCAGGUAGAGAAUACCAAGGCGCUUGAGAGAACUCGGGUGAAGGAACUAGGCAAAAUGGUGCCGUAACUUCGGGAGAAGGCACGCUGACACGUAGGUGAAGUGAUUUACUCAUGGAGCUGAAGUCAGUCGAAGAUACCAGCUGGCUGCAACUGUUUAUUAAAAACACAGCACUGUGCAAACACGAAAGUGGACGUAUACGGUGUGACGCCUGCCCGGUGCCGGAAGGUUAAUUGAUGGGGUCAGCGCAAGCGAAGCUCCUGAUCGAAGCCCCGGUAAACGGCGGCCGUAACUAUAACGGUCCUAAGGUAGCGAAAUUCCUUGUCGGGUAAGUUCCGACCUGCACGAAUGGCGUAAUGAUGGCCAGGCUGUCUCCACCCGAGACUCAGUGAAAUUGAACUCGCUGUGAAGAUGCAGUGUACCCGCGGCAAGACGGAAAGACCCCGUGAACCUUUACUAUAGCUUGACACUGAACAUUGAGCCUUGAUGUGUAGGAUAGGUGGGAGGCUUUGAAGUGUGGACGCCAGUCUGCAUGGAGCCGACCUUGAAAUACCACCCUUUAAUGUUUGAUGUUCUAACGUGGACCCGUGAUCCGGGUUGCGGACAGUGUCUGGUGGGUAGUUUGACUGGGGCGGUCUCCUCCUAAAGAGUAACGGAGGAGCACGAAGGUUGGCUAAUCCUGGUCGGACAUCAGGAGGUUAGUGCAAUGGCAUAAGCCAGCUUGACUGCGAGCGUGACGGCGCGAGCAGGUGCGAAAGCAGGUCAUAGUGAUCCGGUGGUUCUGAAUGGAAGGGCCAUCGCUCAACGGAUAAAAGGUACUCCGGGGAUAACAGGCUGAUACCGCCCAAGAGUUCAUAUCGACGGCGGUGUUUGGCACCUCGAUGUCGGCUCAUCACAUCCUGGGGCUGAAGUAGGUCCCAAGGGUAUGGCUGUUCGCCAUUUAAAGUGGUACGCGAGCUGGGUUUAGAACGUCGUGAGACAGUUCGGUCCCUAUCUGCCGUGGGCGCUGGAGAACUGAGGGGGGCUGCUCCUAGUACGAGAGGACCGGAGUGGACGCAUCACUGGUGUUCGGGUUGUCAUGCCAAUGGCACUGCCCGGUAGCUAAAUGCGGAAGAGAUAAGUGCUGAAAGCAUCUAAGCACGAAACUUGCCCCGAGAUGAGUUCU
Molecule: ribosomal RNA, 2235 nt
Filed under: Salmonella enterica subsp. enterica serovar Ohio
Lineage: Bacteria; Pseudomonadati; Pseudomonadota; Gammaproteobacteria; Enterobacterales; Enterobacteriaceae
Description: bacterial LSU rRNA
Rfam family: Bacterial large subunit ribosomal RNA
Source: RNAcentral